CGCGCGGUGUGAGCGCACGCCUCGCAUAU
RNAcentral lists this small RNA (29 nucleotides) under Bombyx mori (domestic silkworm). RNAcentral's name for it is "ovarian small RNA-14389". Lineage: Eukaryota; Metazoa; Arthropoda; Insecta; Lepidoptera; Bombycidae. The record is from RNAcentral.